Molecule: small nucleolar RNA, 130 nt
Gene: SNORA72
Rfam family: Small nucleolar RNA SNORA72
About the family: U72 is a member of the H/ACA class of snoRNAs. The snoRNA gene is located in intron 4 of the ribosomal L30 protein gene in human, mouse and chicken.
Source: Ensembl
UUGCAAAUAUUCGUGCUGUUCUGAUUUUGUAAUAAUCAGGGCAGGCUAAACAUUCACUAUAUUAAGACCAUGCAUGUCCCCAGACCUAGUUCUUUGCCUAGGUCUGGUUUUCUCAGUUGUGGUGGGAAAC